GCCUGUUCCAAGAUUAGGAUUCUCACCACCUUGAGUGGGUAAGACCCCCUACAGACUAUGGGGUUGAUAGGCCAGAACUGGAAGCGCAGUAAUGCGUGCAGGUGACUGGUACUAAUCGGUCGAGGACUUACCACACA
Molecule: ribosomal RNA, 137 nt
Filed under: Tsukamurella pseudospumae
Lineage: Bacteria; Bacillati; Actinomycetota; Actinomycetes; Mycobacteriales; Tsukamurellaceae
Description: partial 23S ribosomal RNA
Rfam family: Bacterial large subunit ribosomal RNA
Source: RNAcentral